This is a long non-coding RNA of Gasterosteus aculeatus (three-spined stickleback), 1683 nucleotides long. The record is from Ensembl. NCBI's taxonomy places the organism in Eukaryota, Metazoa, Chordata, Actinopteri, Perciformes, Gasterosteidae.
AUGUCUGCUUUAAUGGGGCCUUCUUGUGUUACUGCUCAGUGUGCCGUUGUGCAUCUUUCACCACCGAUGCGUCGGUGGGUGUGUGGUGUGUUUCAUUACGACCCGCUUGUGUGUGUUCAUGCUGGCGUCAUUUUGUGUCCCCUUGUCUUCCUCCAGAGUAAGUCCGUGUCGUCGACGGACAGCCAGCCCACUGAGGAGCGCCAGGGCCCAUCGGGAGGCUACUCCUCCUCGCAGGGAGGGGCGGAGGCAAAGAGGAGGCGCUGCGACGACAAAGAGCCUCUGCCGCCGCACUCCUACGACAGUGAUGGGGACAAAAGUGAAGACAAUCUCGUAGUCGACGUCUCCAAUGAAGUAAGUUGCUCAUUUGUGUUCAAGUCUUUUUUUUUUGACCCCCUCCUACUUGUUUGCGCUGCCGUCACCGGUAGUUUUGCAUCAACCACGUGCGUCUCGCUCUACAGAGCAUCAACUCGCGGCUCCCGGCUUUCUUUCUUACAGCCUCCGCCGCCGUGGUUCAUCUACCCCCGUUUCCAGCUGUAUUUAGUGAGACAAUCCACUCCUCCUCUUCAACACCUGGCACAUGGAGAGUUUUUAAACUUAGUGGAACAUUUAACAGCUAAAGAGUGUGUUUCCGGGGGGCCGAGAUUUGACUUCCAACGAUUGUUAACGUUGCUUAGCGCCAUUCUGCCGUCAACUUUGAAGUCAGCCGUUGUUUGUACUGAAGCGAUUCGACACCACUGCGCUGCCUGAAUCCAGCGUCGGGAUGUGCUCGGCACUACUUUGUUCCAACCUCCGUCCCCUGCGUAAACCCCGUCUGUCUGCCUGCCGAUAAUUCAAUUUAACACGCACGGAGGUCACGCAUCGCACAGAAAGACAUUUUGUAGUUUCCUCAGGAAGUUCCAUCUCUCACAGCCUCGUCCGUGUGCAAACGCUGUACAUCCUCGUUGCAUCCCCCAUCUCUGAUUUCUCUACAAAGCGGCAAGUUACAAGCAUCCUUUAUCCUGCAGAAGCCUUCCGACACAGUGUGGAAGUCCGUGCAUGAAUAAAAGAUGAAUCCAACGCCGGGAGAGCUUGUGUUACAUUUUCGAGUCCUUGGUGACUUUUUCGUGGAGAUUUACCCUUUUUUUUCCACUUCCACUUCCACAGCCAUGAUGCCUCUUUAUUUACUUUCUAGUUUAGUUUACAGACAAUGCUUCGCACUCUGGCAUUGUGUCCCUCUUAUUGGUUAAUCUUCACGAUUCAAAAGAUGAAUCCAGGUUUCUAUUUUAUCCAGAAUAUCCGCACACACACACGUAUUUUGUUUGUGUGUUUUGCUUAAAUGAUUUUCAAGCUGUGCGUGUGUGUGUGUAUGUGUCAGCUGGUACGCAGCUAGUUCAGCUUCCCGCGGAAGUUUCCUUGUAAAGAGGAAGCGCUCGGAUGUAAGCUCAUUAUCAGCCACCGCUGUUUGUGUUCUCUUCUUGUGAACCGUGUCUGCACACGCAAACACACACACACAAACACACACACGCUUAACAAACGUUUAGCUAUCUCUUCUGUUUCUGUUCUCUUUCUUUCUCUAUUUUCUCUUUUCUUUCCCUCCUCCCUCCUCUCAUUAGAUAACUGCAGCCUGCUUCUUUUAAUAUAUGCAAAGCCGUUUAUGCCCCUGGAAUAUUUUAAGUUCUUUAAAUACUUCACGCAGUGUACCAA